RNAcentral lists this ribosomal RNA (742 nucleotides) under uncultured Acetobacteraceae bacterium. RNAcentral describes it as "bacterial SSU rRNA". It matches the Rfam family "Bacterial small subunit ribosomal RNA", at positions 8 to 796 of the family's 1533-position model. The record is from RNAcentral. Lineage: Bacteria; Pseudomonadati; Pseudomonadota; Alphaproteobacteria; Acetobacterales; Acetobacteraceae.
AGAGUUUGAUCCUGGCUCAGAGCGAACGCUGGCGGAAUGCUUAACACAUGCAAGUCGCACGCCCCGCAAGGGGAGUGGCGGACGGGUGAGCAACGCGUAGGAAUAUGUCCGAAGGUGGGGGACAACCCUGGGAAACUGGGGCUAAUACCGCAUGCGGGCCGAGGCCCAAAGCAGCGAUGCGCCUUUGGAGUAGCCUGCGUCCGAUUAGCUCGUUGGCGGGGUAACGGCCCACCAAGGCUCCGAUCGGUAGCCGGUCUGAGAGGACGAUCGGCCACACUGGGACUGAGACACGGCCCAGACUCCUACGGGAGGCAGCAGUGGGGAAUAUUGGGCAAUGGGCGCAAGCCUGACCCAGCAAUUCCGCGUGGGUGAAGAAGGUCUUCGGAUCGUAAAGCCCUUUCGGCGGGGACGAUGGUGACGGUACCCGCAGAAGAAGCCCCGGCUAACUUCGUGCCAGCAGCCGCGGUAAUACGAAGGGGGCUAGCGUUGCUCGGAAUCAUUGGGCGUAAAGGGCGCGUAGGCGGCGCUGUUAGUCAGGCGUGAAAUGCCCAGGCUCAACCUGGGGACUGCGCUUGAUACGGCAGGGCUCGAGGAUGGAAGAGGGCCGCGGAAUUCCCAGUGUAGAGGUGAAAUUCGUAGAUAUUGGGAAGAACACCGGUGGCGAAGGCGGCGGCCUGGUCCAUUACUGACGCUGAGGCGCGACAGCGUGGGGAGCAAACAGGAUUAGAUACCCCGGUAGUCC